AUGGCUGGGGCCAGCAACAGGCGUGGAGCAGUGAUGGAGGAUUGGAUGCUCUCCACACCCAGCCCAAGAACACUCAUGUUGAGCCUGUUCAACGAUGAUUUCAGCUCCGGUCCCUUCUCCGAUGUUUCCAGUGACAGUGGCAGCAACAAACCUCACGAUGGAAUGGAGAGGAGCAAAGCUUCUGUCGGUUCGAGCCCGGGAGAAAGUUCUCAAGUUACAAAAACCUCUCUCCAUUUGGAACCAAACCUGUUUGAUGCUAAUGAGAAAUCAAGCCCAGAUAGUGGCAGUCCAGCAGAAAGGAACGGUUUCUGUGCACUCAAGAUUGACACUUCCCGUGUUGGUUUUUCCGCGUCGAUUCGGUCUCCUAUCAUAAUUCCACCCGGCGUGAGUCCAAGGGAACUUCUUGAGUCUCCGGUUUUUCUUCCCAACGCAAUCGCACAACCUUCUCCUACGACUGGUAAAUUGCCAUUUCUGAUGCGUACUAAUGCUAAAACAACAAUACAAUCGGUCCAUAAGAAGGCUCAAGAGCUAUCACAUGAUGAUCAUACAAUCUCCUUCCAGCAAAUUUUGAGGUCUAAACCAACUUUUUCAAUUGUCGAUAAGGAUCCCAGUGUUACUCAUCAAAACCAGCCCUCAGCAAGCGAGAACAAUCACCGUAUCCCCGAUAACGAACAAGAAGAUAGCAAGGCAAACAGAAAUGGAGAAGAUUGUCCAGCGACGGUCAUUGUUCGUGCUGAGGAUGGGUAUAAUUGGAGGAAAUACGGGAAGAAGCAAGUGAAGAAUAGUGACCAUCCAACGAGCUACUACAAAUGCAGUCACCAAAAUUGCCCUGUGAAGAAAAAGGUGGAGCGUUGUCAAGAUGGCGACAUAACGGAGAUAGUCUACAAAGGUUCUCACAAUCACCCUUUACCGCCUCCCGACAGGCGGCCAGGUGUCCCCUUCUCACACUCCAACGAUCUGCAAGCCGAUGGUGCAGAGAAUGCUCCGGAUGACCACUUCCAACAUGCGCACGGUGAAGUUCCUGCGACAAACUUGUCUGCUUCUCUUAGCAGAGAAGCAUUUGCAGACAGAUCAGCUACCCGAGAAGCUAUUGAUGUCUCGCCGCCGACACUCUCCGGUGAGGACAAUAACAGGGAAGCACAUGGUACUGUAUCUUCGGGCAUUGACAGGGACAAAGAUGUGACUGAGUCGAAGAGAAGGAUGAUGGAUUAUGUCACUCCAGCCACCGCCAUCGGUACUAUAGACAUAGGGGCUCUGGCGUCGAGAGCUGUCCGAGAGGCCCGCGUCAUCGUGCAGACCACAAGCGAGGUCGACGUGCUUGACGACGGUUACCGCUGGCGCAAGUACGGGCAGAAAGUUGUCAAAGGCAACCCAAAUCCAAGGAGCUACUACAAAUGCACGCACCCGAGCUGCCCGGUGCGCAAGCACGUCGAGAGGGCGUCGAAUGACCUGAAAUCGGUCAUCACAACGUACGAGGGCAAGCACACCCAUGAGGUUCCAGCUGACAGAAAAAAUGGCUGCCCAAGCUCAGGUCAUGGUGAUGUUGCGCCACCCCCACAAGCUGAUGGCCUCCACUGGAGGUCAGGACCAGCACAAGGAGGUAUCAUCCCUCAGUACAGUGGCGCUGCCGCUUAUGGCUCACUUGCGCAGCUCGGUGUAGCAGGUGGCUUCCCCUUCGGAGUGCUCCCCCAUGGCCUGGCGCUUGUUCCGGUGCCGGCGCAGAUGGCAGGCCAUCAUCCAUCGGCGAUGCAGGGAAACCCAAGGCUUGUGCUGCAGGCAAGGGAGGUGAAGGGGAAUCCGGCGGCACGGCCAGCAGAUCAGAGUGGAACUGGUCCGGCAGCUUACCAGCAGCUGAUGAGCAGGUUGUCUCAGGGUCCUAACAUGUAA
Molecule: ribosomal RNA, 1887 nt
Filed under: Triticum aestivum (bread wheat)
Lineage: Eukaryota; Viridiplantae; Streptophyta; Magnoliopsida; Poales; Poaceae
Description: partial small subunit ribosomal RNA
Source: RNAcentral